This 140-nucleotide ribosomal RNA is filed under the name Curvularia sp. H05-505-1. Its description in RNAcentral is "5.8S ribosomal RNA". It matches the Rfam family "5.8S ribosomal RNA". From Rfam's summary of the family: 5.8S ribosomal RNA (5.8S rRNA) is a component of the large subunit of the eukaryotic ribosome. Lineage: Eukaryota; Fungi; Ascomycota; Dothideomycetes; Pleosporales; Pleosporaceae. The record is from RNAcentral.
CAACUUUCAACAACGGAUCUCUUGGUUCUGGCAUCGAUGAAGAACGCAGCGAAAUGCGAUACGUAGUGUGAAUUGCAGAAUUCAGUGAAUCAUCGAAUCUUUGAACGCACAUUGCGCCCUUUGGUAUUCCAAAGGGCAUG